This 333-nucleotide ribosomal RNA is filed under the name uncultured bacterium. Its description in RNAcentral is "bacterial SSU rRNA". It matches the Rfam family "Bacterial small subunit ribosomal RNA", at positions 28 to 357 of the family's 1533-position model. The record is from RNAcentral.
GAUGAACGCUAGCGGCAGGCCUAAUACAUGCAAGUCGAACGGAUAUAUGUUUUUCGGAAUAUAUAUUAGUGGCGCACGGGUGAGUAACACGUACAUAACUUGCCCUCAAGCGGGGGAUAGCCUUGGGAAACUGAGAGUAAUACCCCAUAGAAUUAUUGGACGGCAUCGUUUGAUAAUUAAAACUACGGUGUUUGGGGAUAGAUGUGCGUCUGAUUAGCUAGUUGGUGAGGUAACUGCUCACCAAGGCGACGAUCAGGUAGGGGGCGUGAGAGCCGUCGGCCCCCCACACGGGUACUGAGACACGGACCCGACUCCUACGGGAGGCAGCAGUAA